Molecule: small nuclear RNA, 324 nt
Filed under: Ursus maritimus (polar bear)
Lineage: Eukaryota; Metazoa; Chordata; Mammalia; Carnivora; Ursidae
Description: 7SK RNA (ENSUMAG00000016542.1)
Rfam family: 7SK RNA
About the family: 7SK was discovered as an abundant small nuclear RNA in the mid-70s but a possible function has only recently been suggested. Two independent studies have found that 7SK RNA binds the CDK9/cyclin T complex (known as elongation factor P-TEFb).
Source: Rfam by way of RNAcentral
GGAUGUGAGGGCGAUCUGGCUGCGACAUCUGUCACCCCACUGAUCGCCAGGGUUGAUUCGGCUGAUCUGGCUGGCUAGGCGGGUGUCCCCUUCCUCCCUCACCGCUCCAUGUGCGUCUCUCCCGAAGCUGUGUGCUCGAUCGAAGAGGACGACCUUCCCCGAUAGAGGAGGACCGUUCUUUGGUCAAGGGUAUGCAAGUAGCUGCGCUCCCCUGCUAGAACCUCCAAACAAGCUCUCAAGAAACAAAAAGAAAGAAAGACAAGACAUGGACUUAAAAAAUAUAUAAAAACACAAAAAACUUUUAAAUCUCUUUGAUUUUUCUUU